UGCAGUCACGUAGCAGACGUACGAUCACCGUACAACUCGGUAGCCACCUUAUUGUAUGCAGUGUCCAGUCCUAUGUAGUGAUUCAUGGUUUAUAAUUUAUAUUAUAUAUGCAGGCCGUCCGAAAAGCAGAGAAAUCACAUACAAUUGUAAAGUAUAAGUGAGAGCCUACUAUUUUUUUUAUAUCUCUAGAAUGAUUAAAGAGAAUCAUUCAAUAGUUUAUUAAGAUUAUUAUACUUUUAAACCAAUAUGCCUUUAAAAGAAUUAAACAUAUUAGAACAUUCCGGUCUGGCACCGGUAACAUUUGUUAGAACUGUAUUAUCUGAUUUUGGAGCAAAUGUGACUGUAAUACAAAUAGUGUAAUGGAAAAAUUGAGAUUAGGCUCCGAUGUAAUGAUUGCCAAAAAUCAUUGCUUAAUAUAUGCUCGAUUGAAUGGCUAUGGUUCACAUGGACAAUAUACAAAAAGAGCUGGACGUGAUAUAAAUUAUUUAGCCUUGUCAGGUUUGUUGUCAUUAUAUGGUUCAAAGAAUUCAAAACCUGUUCCUCAGUAGUAUGAUUUUAAUUUGAUUCAAAAGAUGCUUGUGUAACUCCUGUGUUAGAGCUACAGUAAAUAAAGUAAUCAAGCAAGUUGAAAUACAUACAUGAGGAAAGAUAAUAUUGUGCUACCUGUUCCAUAACCAAAAUUAAGUGUUACUCCUGGUGUUUCAAAUAAACCAACUGCGGUUUGUGGACAGAAUACAAUAGGGAAAUAUUUGAAAGUAUUGGACAUACACAAAUAUAAAUCAAAAAACUAUUU
This is a long non-coding RNA of Metopolophium dirhodum (rose-grain aphid), 793 nucleotides long. RefSeq lists it as uncharacterized. Lineage: Eukaryota; Metazoa; Arthropoda; Insecta; Hemiptera; Aphididae. The transcript is spliced from 4 exons. The record is from RefSeq and is a predicted model, not a curated record.